CUUUAUUCACUCUGGGCAGUUUGUUGAAGAUUAGGUGGUCAGCUCACAAUGAAUCAUAAGCUGCUUUUGUCCCUUGCUGUCUAUGCUUAGAAGCUAAAAGGUUAAGCAGCGAUGUCAGCGCUAUCAGGGAGCUGUGGAGACUGGAAUUGAAGUUCAGAACCUUUCAUGGGAGACAGCUCAGAUGUAUUUCUGUGCAAAACUUGUCUCCAAGGAAGACUCUAAUCUUCUAAACUCUGGAUUUAUAUGAUUUCUCAAUAUGCUAUAUCAACCUCAUUUUGCUAAUAAUGAUACAGGACGGAGGCAGCAAAGUUCUGGAUAGAGAAGGAUGGGGUCCCUGGUGAGGGCUCCACCCUCAGGCCUGUGCCCAUGGACCUAAGUAUGGACAAGCACUCCUGUUUUUGCACCCAAAUGUUGCAUUUUCCAAGACCACUCUGACCCAACACAUGCUCCAUCCUGUGCUUAUAAAAAUCCCGAGACCCUAACAGGCACACACAGAAGUGGCUGGACGUUGAGAGGAGCAGAAGAGCACACUGACAGACACCAGCAAAUGCUCGCAGGCCAUCGAGGGCAGGAUGAGGAUGACUUGGAAUUUGGCAGGGGAUGAUUAGAGGAGAGUCUGGCCACUGGGCAGCCAACUCCACAUUCCCACUUAAUCCUCCUUCUGUUCUCCCCAUCCAUCUUGCUGAGAGCUACCUCCGCUCAAUAAAAUCUUGCACCCACCCUCAAAGCCUAUGUGUGAUCCAAUUUUUCCGGUACAUGAAGGCAAG
RNAcentral lists this long non-coding RNA (767 nucleotides) under Homo sapiens (human). RNAcentral's name for it is "non-protein coding lnc-MEI4-3:4". Lineage: Eukaryota; Metazoa; Chordata; Mammalia; Primates; Hominidae. The record is from RNAcentral.